CAUGCCUACCCGUGUGCGGAUGGCACCUCUGGCCUGUUUACCGAGCUGUGCAGGCGAGCGCCGGCGCCCUCUACUGGACGGAAGUAAAUGUCCCUCUGAGUGUAACUAUUGUCGCCUGUGGAUGAGCUAAUGGAUUCACUUUGAGCUCGUAGAAAGGACACGGUGUCGUGGGGAUCCCAGGCAGUCCUCUGACAUCUGACAUACCGCCAGCUUGCCUAAGGAUGUUAUUUCUUUGAGGGGGGCGUCAAGACACAAAACCUUUUCCUUUAAGGGAUUUGCUCACCCAGGAGGAGAUUUGAUGGUACUUACGGACUGGGGCUUCACUCCGCAUCUGCCUCUCCGUGAGAGCCUGUCUCCCCAGGCUGGCUGGUCCUCAGGACACAGGUGCUGCUGUUGUGGCUGCGUGCAUCCUAUGUGUGGCGACUCCACCUUCCAGCUAAAAUCCCAGCAAAGGGUCUCAUCCGGAGGCCCCGGGGCACACUUCUUUCAUCCGUGUGCCUUCCCUCUUUCUCUCGGGGUCCAGAGCAGCGAGGAAGGAAUGAAGAACCUGGGUCUGCCACCGUCUGUCGGUCCUCACCGCUGCAUCUCAGCUAAGGCUGCAGAAGUCAGUGCAGUAGCGGAACUGGCUAGGGCUCCUCGCGGUUGCCACGGUAACCAGGAGCAGGCUCCUGCCCUGGUGGCGGAGGAAGGCUGUGGAGAAAAGGUAACGGAUAAGCGAUGACGCGUUGGCCUCUCUCCUGGGCGUCGGUUGAGCCUCAAGUGACCCAAAUGAAACGAAGUCCCAGAUAACCCGUUCUCUAGACCCAAACCACACCACCGCCGUUGUCUUCUUUUUUCUCCUCUUCUCCCUCCCCAGUCUACACACAUAGGAGCAUCUUAAGGGUUAGAAAUUCCAGCACUAUGCAAGGCUUCCUGCCCCAGAGGAUCCUGCUGCACACAGAGCGGAAUGUUUGCUAGGCUCGCUCUUGAAAACAGAACUCCCAGCGGGACAGCUGCGGGUGAGCUGGAGGAGCCAGCAAAGGGACCAAGCGAGGGAUGAUGAUGAGUGGGUCACAUCCUCUCUGAUCUGUAAGAUGAAAGACACAAAGAUGUCUUAGGAAAAGCCUAUCAAACUAAGUUGUUCUUGUUACUACUAUGAUCAUGAUGGUGGUGAAUGUAGACUAUGGUCCCCAAAUACGCAGUCCCAAAGGCCAUAAUCCUAAGUGAUAAAAUAGCUCUAAAUUCUAAAACCCGGAAA
Molecule: non-coding RNA, 1237 nt
Organism: Cricetulus griseus (Chinese hamster)
Lineage: Eukaryota; Metazoa; Chordata; Mammalia; Rodentia; Cricetidae
Source: RefSeq, a predicted model, not a curated record